GGGCUCCGUGUUGGGGGCCCCGGGGUCCUGGGCACCGCCCUGUGUCCCUCUGGGGGCUGCUUGCUCUGCCCCUCCUCUCAGUUCGAGACCGUCACUGGUGCUGUUCCUUCUUUGCUCUGUGCCUCAUUCUGGCCGACAUGCCCUGGCUGUGGGGACCACGAUAGUGGUGGCUGACCCCACAGGCUGUACCCUCUGUUCAUCUGAUCUAGGAGCAUCUUUCCCCCCCCCUCCCCCCCGCAAUCAGCACCUGCCACUCCCUCAUCCCCCAUCUCUGGGCCUCUGCUCUGGAGUCCCGUGGUCCUGAGGGUGCAGGGAGGUGCCUCUGGACCCCAGAGUGUGCGAGAGGAGCCGUGAGAGCUUUGAGGGCUUUGUUAUUUCAGCUGGGAAUGCCUGGUGGAAAUCUCUCGCCUUACCCCACCUGCUCAUUGCGCUGGGCCCUGCCGUGGAAUUAGAAGGCAUGUGGUUUCUUUCUCAUUCACACAGUCUUCUGAAUUGUCGGAUGUUGUGGGAUCAUUAGGGGAGGGUGAGACCGGAGUCAGAAGGAAACAGUUCCUACAUGUCCGUUUCCCUCCAGGACUCUGGUCACUCAGCUCCAUUCGGGUGGAGCCGAGUGGGUCCGGAGGGGUGUCCCUCGUUUGCGAAGCAAGGGGAGGCGGGGAGGGAACGACCGGAGAAGGCAGUACAUUGACCGGGUUCCCGUGCUUUUGGUGCUGUUCAGAAAUGUACACAAGUCACUCCGUCUGGGUAGAACUGAACGUGCCUCAAAUGACCCUGGGAAGGGUGUUCUUCUCCACAGCGUCCGUACGCUGACUUGCUUACGAAACACAGAAAGGCGGUGAAGUAUAUGUCACGUCUUAGGAUUCGCCAGCUCUGUCUGGCAUGCUGCUUUAUUUCUGACUUUCAGUGAGCCUUGUUGGGGUUACAGCUGGCAGCCUCUCGGCAGCAGCCCUUGUCCAGGUAAAGGACAUCUCUGAGAAUACCUCUUAGGUUCUGUCUGAGUCUCUACAGUUUGAAGUCAACUCCACAUUGCAUCUUCCUUUAAGGAUACUAACGGGAGGGAAGUGAGGAUUAUUUGUGGUCCUCAAUUGAUCUCGAGUACAAUGGAAAUGAGUUCACUUUGGCAUUCCCCAUUGUGGCUCAGUGGGUUAAGAACCCAACAGAGUAUCCAUGAGGAUGCGGGUUCAAUCCCUGGCCUCGCGCAUUGGGUUAAGGAUCCGGCAUUGCUUGAGCUGUGAUGUAGGUUGCAGAUGAGGCUUGGAUUCUGCAUGGCUGUGCCUGUGGUAUAGACCUGCAGCUGCAGCUCCAGUUUGAUGCCUAGCCUGGGAACGUCCAUAUGCCGCAGGUGUGGCCCUAAGAAGAAAAAUAAAAAGGAAAAAAAAAAAAAAGAAAUGUUUAUCUUUUUCUUUUCCUUUUAAUUUUAGUACAUGUUUCUUAACCAUAAUUUAUUUUUUAGGAAAUCUCUUUAUUACAGCUAUCCUAAAAUGUGCACCUAAAAAGGGGUUGUUUUUAUUUUGUAUUUUGAUGGUUACACUUGACCUGAAUCGUAAUUCGACAUUCAUAGUAACAUAUUUUGAGAGAUUUUGAAAAAUAUUUAUUUUCCAUUUUCUACAAUCAUAACCUUGUUGACAGGCUUUCAAUUUGGGAAGCAGAUCUUAACGUUUUAGUGAACAGAAUACAGAUGAAUUGUCGGAUUCUCAAGGACAUAGCUUGCUAGUGUAUAUUUUCUCUUUAAGGGGGAAAAGAAGAAAAAACAUAAAAACUCAGCAUGCAUCAGACUCCUUUUUUAGACCUCUGAAUAAUGCCAGUACACUCUUCUCUUUCAUUUUUCUUUUAAAAUGUCAUCCAACACUGAUCUCUGUUAAAAGUGUGUAAUUGUGAUUUUGGUUAACGUUUAGAAGACAUUUUCCUUUCUUGGGUGAACACACUUUAUUGACCUUGAUGAAAUUCAAGUAAAAAGUUAUUUUCAGAGAUCAAAACAUAGACUAAUGUAAAAGAUACCCUGUAUUUUCCAGUCCGAAAUUGGGGCUUCAAAUAAGGUAAUGAGCCCAUUGCAGUCCCAAUUAUGACUUAUCAGUAUAUUGGAGAAGAUCAAUAUUUUUGCUCCAAGUAGAGAUUUGUAUCCCGUUCAAGAAACGUAUUUUUGUUAGACUAUUAGGAAGAGAAAGAGGUGACUGUUUUUUAGUCACAUGCACAUUUACCCUACACAUUCCAAGUUUUCCACCGUCACAUAUUUUAAAGACUCAGAAAAGAAACACCUCUUGUAUUCUUGGUUUUCAGAAAGUGAUAAACUUUACAUGUAUGUUACACACACACACACACAUACACACACACACACACACACAUAGUUUUUAAAGUUCAGCUCCCUCGCCCAUCUGUCCGUAGAAGUGGCAACCUCCCUGGCUUUGUGAUGGUAAAUUGAGGAUUACGCCUUGCCCUUAUGAUGUGCUUCUAAGAAAUUAUUCUCAGCAGCUUUUGCAGCGGCUGCGGAAUUCUCCGUUUCUGAUAAAGAACCUGUGUCCAGGUCCCUGUAAAGGAAAGACACACGUCCGUGGACAAACAGCUGUCCUUUGACGCCAGUGGGCAAUCCGUCCGCGCGUGGGGUUCAGGUGGUCGUGUAAAAGUGCUUAUGUCUGGUCUUCAGACACCUUUCUCUCGACGGAGGUCUCAUCACUCAACAAUGGUUUGUGAAAGAAGCAGCAAGUAAAACUUUGACUGUUUUUUCUUUAUGUAUUGAAUGAAUGAAUUGCUUGAUUCCCAAAAUAAUUACUGAAUACCCAGCUACAGGUCCAGGCUUCAGAUAUACAUCUUUUAGCAUCAAUCUAAUAGGCGGUAGAUAGUAGAAGAAAUAACUGGUACAUUAGAAAGUACUACAACAGGAGUUCCUGUCGAGGCUCAGCGGUAACAAAGCCAAAUGAGGUUGCAAGUCCAUGAGGUUGCAAGUUUGAUCCCUGGCCUUGCUCAGUGGGUUAAGGAUCUGGCGUUGCUGUGAGCUGCGAUGUAGGUUUCAGAAGUGGCUUGGAUCCGGUGUUGCUGUGGCUGUGGCAUAGCCUGCAGCUGCAGCUGCAGCUCCAGUGCGGCCCCUAGCUUGGAAACUUCCACAUACUCGUGAUGUGGCCCCAAAAAAGCAAAAAAGAAAGAUGUAGAACAUCAGAACAGCCAUCCCUGCAGGUCACAGGGAAAGGCAUUAUGUGUGCUUACUGCCCUGAACUGUCCCCUUCCAAUUUGUGAAGAUUUGUGACCACUGUAUGUUAUAUGUAUUUGCCCACAAUAUAAAAAAGAUUGGAGAAAAGCGGGGUACAUUCAAAAGACUCUUGCUUCUGUAGUUCAGUCUCAUACAAAAGGCUUUUCUGUUUCUUACCCGCUCUGCUUGAAAGCAAGACUUGAAAUGAAAAACUGUUUCCCAGUGACUUAAGAGUAUUCCAGAGCAAAGCACAACUAUAUACACAAGCACAUCCUGCACCCACUAAGGCAACAUGUACAAAGACUGGUAUCUAAGGAAGUAUUGCUAACAUGUAAACAAGGAGAAAAAAAGAAUGGCCAAUAAUGUCGAGGAAACAGAUCAAUACAUAAAAACAGACCAAAAAGUAACAUAGAUUAUAGACUUAAUAAUAGAGAAAAGCAUUCAAUAUUCCUUAAUAAAUAUAUCCAUAAUUUUAAGAAGGUACCCAAAGGCAAGAGCCUCCAAAAGAAGGGCAAGAAAAUGAUAAAACAAACAGUAGUUGCCUUCGUGGCUCAGCAGUAACAAACCUGUCUAGUAUCCAUGAGGUUGCAGGUUCGAUCCCUGGCUUUGCUCAGUGGGUUAAGGAUCUGGCAUCGCCAUGAACUGUGGGGUAGGUCACACAUGUGACUCAGAUCCAGUGUUGCUGUGGCUGUGGUGUAGGCCGGCACCUAUAGCUCUGGUUGGACCUGUAGCCUGGCAACUUCCAUAUACCAUGGGUGCAGCCCUAAAACAAAGACAUAAAAACAGAAUUGAUCUUCUAGAGUCAGAAGAUACACCCUCUGAGAUAAAGGUUCUAUUGAAAGGACGCAGGUGGACACUGAUAAAGAAAAGAAGAGGGAACUUUAAAAAAAAAGGAAGCUAUCCUAAAUUGAAACAUCAAGAUUAAAAUGACUGAUUAAAAAGAGAACGGGAUCCGGUGAACUGAAACUAAGACAACUUUGAGCAGAAUAAUAUGCAUGCAAUUAGGAUUCCAGAGAGAGUGGAAGGGAAGAAAUUUAAAUAAGUAAUGCUGAUUCCCCCCCCCCCUUUUUUUAAAUGGAUGAACCCACAGCUUAUGGAAGUUCCCAGGCAGGCAUUGAUUCUGAGCUGCAGCUGCAACAAUGCUGGAUCCUUUAAACCCACUACACGAGGCUGGGCAUCAAACCUGCACCUCUUCAGUGACCUGAGCUAUUGCAAUCAGAUUCUUAACUCACUGCUUCGUAGUGGGAGCUUCUUGUUUUUUCCCCCCAAAUUUAAUGAUGCCUGUAAACCCACAGUUUCAAAAAAAUGUCCAGUGAAUGUGGAAUGGAAGAAAACUGAGCAGAAUGAAAGCAAGGAGCAUUAUAAUCAUACGUCUGUAAACCAGUAAUAAAGAGAUUUUUAAAAGGGAGGCAGUGCAAGAAGAUUUUCCCUACAGAGGCACAAAGAUAAGGAUGACCACACGUUUGCUUUUAGAAACAGUGCAAGCAGGGAAAGAGUGGAGCCCCAGCCCUCAGGAACGGAAAGAUCCCUUCAUGCUGGAAUUUUAAAUUGAAUGGAAAUUUCUUUGAAAAAUGAAAUGGAGGCACGGACUUGUUCAGACACACAGAAGGUGAGAAAGUCUUUGCAGCAGAGCAGUCGAAGCAGAGAUGCGAAAGAUUCUUAGGAACCGCAGGGCAGUUGCAGCAAUGAAAGGGAUCUCCAGAGCACUGAGGAGCGUCUUAAGUGACACAGACUGUAGACACAGAGGAAUGCGCAUUCCUUCACACUCUGAGAUAGUUGGCAGAUGAGCGAAAACAAACCCUUCUGUGGUUCACGCAGUUAAUUGCAUACAGAGAAGUAGAAAGUGUAGCAGCAGUAGCACCAAGCUUGGAAGUGUAUACUGUUACAAAAUUUUGACAGCAUAAGAACAACAAAAUAUAAUCAUAGUUGCCAAUAGACUGGGAUAAGGGACAUGAGCCGUUAAAUAUGUGUGAAGUGACCACUAAAGAAAUUUCUAAAAAAAAAAAAGGUUAACAGAUAAUGAAGGGAAACAGAAAUAAUCC
This 5223-nucleotide long non-coding RNA is filed under the name Sus scrofa (pig). RNAcentral describes it as "lncRNA (ENSSSCG00040032007.1)". Lineage: Eukaryota; Metazoa; Chordata; Mammalia; Artiodactyla; Suidae. The record is from RNAcentral.